Anopheles merus is the source of this 1148-nucleotide long non-coding RNA. RefSeq lists it as uncharacterized. NCBI's taxonomy places the organism in Eukaryota, Metazoa, Arthropoda, Insecta, Diptera, Culicidae. The transcript has 4 exons. The record is from RefSeq and is a predicted model, not a curated record.
CAGAGUUUAUUCAUAUACUGAGCUCAAUAAAGAAUAAGCAUUAAAUGACACCAAAAUGAGUCGAAUGCCCUUCCGAAAAAUAUGUUAACAUAUCGUGAAGCUGCAUGCCCUGCAGGGAAUUUGGUCGGCCGAUGAUUAAUUAUUUGUAUACCACCCCGGGUUGUGUGUCGUAGUUUUAUGACACCAACGUUCAGCUCGCCCACAGUCCUGGUUGCCAAUCACUUUCGACACUAGGGUACAAGCUGUGGCGUAAAUUAAUUCCACUUUCAACUCCAAUACGGGGAGCUUCUGAUCCUCCAUGGUGUGUGGCUUUGGGCGGCAUGUCUAAUUUUAGCAAAUUAAUAUGGAAUCAAUUGAAAGCACAAGGAAAAGCGAUACUGAGAGAACGAGUACGAAUGGUGCUGCUGACUAUCAUCACACGCUGCAAGUGAAACUACACUUCAACAAACGGAAGCAUGGUUUGGAAACCAUUCCGAGAGUGUAUCAUUUAUUCAACAUCGAUUAAAAAGUAAAUCAUAUAGGCGAAUGAAAAGGCGAUGACGCAUAAUGCGGGUCUGGUUAUAUGAGGUCUUCAGCAUUGCAAUUGGUAUGGCGCUAGCACCAAACACCGCACAAGUCACAAAAUCCCUGUCACACAUUUGUCCAACCCGAUAACAUGUAAGACAAACUGUACUGUACGAGAUCAUUCAUUUAUACUUCAUAAUUGACUUAUGUUAUGCCUUAAGAAAACGUUGGUACUAUUGACGCUGCAAUGGUGGAGGUAAGAAUGACAUUAGCACAUUAUCACGCUAUUUGCCGCUUUACAAUCCACACUUAACAGUGAAGCGAUAAACAUGAUAUAAUAAGGCGCGCACUGCACCUGCUUAUCGGUCGAGCACUUCUUAUCAGGUGGCCACCGUGUACACCGUGUACUUAACCGUGUUGAUAAGCAAAAAAAUUGUGAUGGAUUUCUUAAAAGCGUUUUGGUUCUAACACGUCAUCACUCGCGCGCUAACUUUCCACGCCGUCUUUUCUACAUGCUGCAAAAACGCAGCCGCUUUAUGCUAACACACACGCUCAACAGCUAAAGGUUGUUACAAAACCGUCAAUCGUAAAUCAAAACGUUUGAAAUAAGCAACCGAGCACACACUAUGUCGUAUAUGGCUAUC